Molecule: ribosomal RNA, 238 nt
Filed under: uncultured bacterium
Lineage: Bacteria
Description: partial 16S ribosomal RNA
Rfam family: Bacterial small subunit ribosomal RNA
Source: RNAcentral
CGGGUGAGUAACGUGUGGGCAACCUGCCUUAUACUGGGGAAUAAUCACUGGAAACGGUGACUAAUACCGCAUAAUGUCUUUUCACGGCAUCGUGGAAAGAAAGAAAAGGAAGCAAAUCCGGUAAAAAGAUGGGCCCGCAUCUGAUUAGCUAGUUGGUGAGAUAACAGCCCACCAAGGCGACGAUCAGUAGCCGACCUGAGAGGGUGAUCGGCCACAUUGGGACUGAGACACGGCCCAA